This 244-nucleotide unclassified non-coding RNA is filed under the name uncultured Helotiales. RNAcentral's name for it is "sequence contains 5.8S rRNA gene". The stretch from base 1 to 53 matches the Rfam family "5.8S ribosomal RNA", at positions 102 to 154 of the family's 154-position model. Lineage: Eukaryota; Fungi; Ascomycota; Leotiomycetes; Helotiales. The record is from RNAcentral.
GAACGCACAUUGCGCCCCUUGGUAUUCCGGGGGGCAUGCCUGUUCGAGCGUCAUUUCAACCCUCAAGCACAGCUUGGUCUUGGGCCCUGCCGGCAACGGCUGGCCUUAAAAACAGUGGCGGCGCCAUCGAGCUCUACGCGUAGUAAUUAUACCCUCGCGUGUGAGUCCCGGUGGAUGCUGGCCAGCAACCCCCAAUUUUCUAUGGUUGACCUCGAAUCAGGUAGGGAUACCCGCUGAACUUAAG